GCUGGGCGUGGUGGCUCACGCCUGUAAUCCCAGCACUUUGGGAGGCUGAGGCGGGUGGAUCACCUGAGGUCAGGAGUCCGAGACCAGCCUGGCCAACAUGGAGAAACCCCGUCUCUA
Unclassified non-coding RNA from Papio anubis (olive baboon), 117 nucleotides. It matches the Rfam family "Metazoan signal recognition particle RNA". Rfam says of the family: The signal recognition particle (SRP) is a universally conserved ribonucleoprotein. It is involved in the co-translational targeting of proteins to membranes. NCBI's taxonomy places the organism in Eukaryota, Metazoa, Chordata, Mammalia, Primates, Cercopithecidae. The record is from Ensembl.